ACGUACACCUGAGACAAUGCC
This 21-nucleotide non-coding RNA is filed under the name Coscinodon humilis. The record is from RNAcentral. Lineage: Eukaryota; Viridiplantae; Streptophyta; Bryopsida; Grimmiales; Grimmiaceae.